RNAcentral lists this ribosomal RNA (406 nucleotides) under uncultured bacterium. RNAcentral's name for it is "bacterial SSU rRNA". It matches the Rfam family "Bacterial small subunit ribosomal RNA", at positions 358 to 776 of the family's 1533-position model. The record is from RNAcentral.
GGAAUAUUGCACAAUGGGCGCAAGCCUGAUGCAGCAACGCCGCGUGAGGGACGACGGCCUUCGGGUUGUAAACCUCUUUUAGUAGGGAAGAAGCGAAAGUGACGGUACCUGCAGAAAAAGCACCGGCUAACUACGUGCCAGCAGCCGCGGUAAUACGUAGGGUGCGAGCGUUGUCCGGAAUUAUUGGGCGUAAAGAGCUCGUAGGCGGUCUGUCGCGUCUGCUGUGAAAACCCGAGGCUCAACCUCGGGCCUGCAGUGGGUACGGGCAGACUAGAGUGCGGUAGGGGAGAAUGGAAUUCCUGGUGUAGCGGUGGAAUGCGCAGAUAUCAGGAGGAACACCGAUGGCGAAGGCAGUUCUCUGGGCCGUAACUGACGCUGAGGAGCGAAAGCGUGGGGAGCGAACAGG